GCUACGCGUUGUAAACUGCUUUUAAUCGGGAAGAAACCCCGGGACGUGUCCCGGGUUGACGGUACCGAUGGAAUAAGCACCGGCUAACUUCGUGCCAGCAGCCGCGGUAAUACGAAGGGUGCAAGCGUUAUCCGGAUUCAUUGGGUUUAAAGGGUGCGUAGGCGGAACAAUAAGUCAGCGGUGAAAGCCCACAGCUUAACUGUGGAACUGCCGUUGAUACUGUUGUUCUUGAGUACGUUUGACGUGGGCGGAAUGUGCCGUGUAGCGGUGAAAUGCUUAGAUAUGGCACAGAACACCGAUAGUGAAGACAGCUCACGAAGACGAAACUGACGCUGAGGCACGAAAGCGUGGGGAGCGAACAGGAUUAGAUACCCUGGUAGUCCACGCCGUAAACGAUGAUCACUCGUGAUUGGCGAUACACGGUCAGUCACCUAGCGAAAGCGUUAAGUGAUCCACCUGGGGAGUACGUC
RNAcentral lists this ribosomal RNA (470 nucleotides) under uncultured bacterium. RNAcentral's name for it is "bacterial SSU rRNA". It matches the Rfam family "Bacterial small subunit ribosomal RNA", at positions 416 to 886 of the family's 1533-position model. The record is from RNAcentral.